GUAAAUUAACCUGGGUCAGAGUGG
This 24-nucleotide non-coding RNA is filed under the name Cricetulus griseus (Chinese hamster). The record is from RNAcentral. Lineage: Eukaryota; Metazoa; Chordata; Mammalia; Rodentia; Cricetidae.